RNAcentral lists this ribosomal RNA (494 nucleotides) under uncultured bacterium. Its description in RNAcentral is "partial 16S ribosomal RNA". It matches the Rfam family "Bacterial small subunit ribosomal RNA", at positions 28 to 507 of the family's 1533-position model. The record is from RNAcentral.
GACGAACGCUGGCGGCGCGCUUAACACAUGCAAGUCGAACGGAAAGGCCUGCUUUCCCUUGUGGAUUGCGGGUACUCGAGUGGCGAACGGGUGAGUAACACGUGAGUGAUCUGCCCCCAACUUGGGUAUAAGCCUGGGAAACUGGGUCUAAUUCCCGAUAGGACUGCAGGGUGGUGCCUGUGGUGGAAAACGAUUUUCUAGUGGUUGGGGAUGAGCUCGCGGCCUAUCAGCUUGUUGGUGGGGUAAUGGCCUACCAAGGCGGCGACGGGUAGCCGGCCUGAGAGGGUGGACGGCCACAUUGGGACUGAGAUACGGCCCAGACUCCUACGGGAGGCAGCAGUGGGGAAUAUUGCACAAUGGGCGGAAGCCUGAUGCAGCGACGCCGCGUGGGGGAUGACGGCCUUCGGGUGGUAAACUCCUUUCGGCCGCGAGGAAGCCACCUGGUUGGAAGGGUGGUGACGGUAGUGGUAGAAGAAGCACCGGCUAACUACGUG